CCACAACGGGGGGUUGAUGGCA
Molecule: unclassified non-coding RNA, 22 nt
Filed under: Mus musculus (house mouse)
Lineage: Eukaryota; Metazoa; Chordata; Mammalia; Rodentia; Muridae
Description: oocyte_clustered_small_RNA9539
Source: RNAcentral